RNAcentral lists this small nuclear RNA (106 nucleotides) under Propithecus coquereli (Coquerel's sifaka). The record is from RNAcentral. Lineage: Eukaryota; Metazoa; Chordata; Mammalia; Primates; Indriidae.
GUGCUCACUUCAGCAGCACAUACACUAAAAUUGGAAUGAUACAGAGAAGAUUAGCAUGGCCCCUGGCAAGGAUGACACACAAAUUUGUGAAGUGUUCCAUAUUAAA